AACGAACGCUGGCGGCAGGCUUAACACAUGCAAGUCGAACGCCCCGCAAGGGGAGUGGCAGACGGGUGAGUAACGCGUGGGAAUCUACCUAGUUCUACGGAACAACAGUCGGAAACGACUGCUAAUACCGUAUACGCCCUACGGGGAAAGAUUUAUCGGAAUUAGAUGAGCCCGCGUAAGAUUAGCUAGUUGGUGAGGUA
This 200-nucleotide ribosomal RNA is filed under the name uncultured bacterium. Its description in RNAcentral is "partial 16S ribosomal RNA". It matches the Rfam family "Bacterial small subunit ribosomal RNA", at positions 29 to 259 of the family's 1533-position model. The record is from RNAcentral.